RNAcentral lists this ribosomal RNA (266 nucleotides) under uncultured bacterium. RNAcentral describes it as "partial 16S ribosomal RNA". It matches the Rfam family "Bacterial small subunit ribosomal RNA", at positions 57 to 305 of the family's 1533-position model. The record is from RNAcentral.
GCAAGUCGAACGAGAAGAUUAUGAUUGAGCCUUCGGGUGAGAGAUUAAUUGGAAAGUGGCGAACGGGUGAGUAACGCGUGGGUAACCUGCCCUAUGGAAAGGAAUAGCCUCGGGAAACUGGGAGUAAUGCCUUAUGACAUAGAGAAGUCGCAUGGCUUUUCUAUCAAACGCUCCGGUGCCAUAGGAUGGACCCGCGUCCCAUUAGCUGGUUGGUGAGGUAACGGCUCACCAAGGCGACGAUGGGUAACCGGUCUGAGAGGGCGAAC